Molecule: non-coding RNA, 1328 nt
Organism: Callithrix jacchus (white-tufted-ear marmoset)
Lineage: Eukaryota; Metazoa; Chordata; Mammalia; Primates; Cebidae
Source: RefSeq, a predicted model, not a curated record
AUGACAAUAAAGGUUCAAUGUCCUUGAUUUUUUUGGCAUUGCCAUUAACAGUCAACCUGCUGCAAGAGUUGUCUUUGAAUUAUUUUCUGAUGUGUGUCCCAAAACAUGCAAGAACUUUAGCUAUUUUUGUACAGGUUAAAAGGGGACAGGGAUAUCAACUCAGAAGCCAUUCCAUUACAAGAGUUCUCUUUCACAGAGUUGUCAAGGAUUUUAUGGUUUAAGGUAGUGACUUCAGUGAAGGAAAUGGUUGAGAAGGGGGAAUCUAUCUAUGGAGGAUUUUUGGAAGAUGGGAGUUUUGCUCUUAAACACAACAAAGAAUUUCUCUUGUCAAUGGCCAACAGAAGGAAGGAUACAAAUGGUUCACAGCUCUUCAUAACAAUGAAACCAACUCCUGAUUUAGAUGGGCAUCAUGUUGUUUUUGGACAAGCAAUCUUUGGCCAAGAAGUUGUAAGAGAGAUGGAAAACCAGAAGACAGAUGCAGCAAGCAAACUGUUUGUGGAGGUAUGGAUACUCAGUUAUGGAGAACUGAUUUCCAAACCUAAAGUUAAGAAAGAAUAAAAGAAAAGGCAUAAAUCAUCAUCUUCCUCCUCCUCAUCUAGUGACUCAGAUAGCUCAAGUGAUUCUCAGUCCUCUUCAGAUUCCAAAUGUGCUUCUGAAGAGAAAUCAAAGAGAAGAGGAAACAUUGGAAAACUUCCCAAAAACACAAGAAAGAAAAGAAGAAGCAAAAGAAAAGCAAGAAGAGUGCAUCUAGUGAGAAUGAAGCUGAAAAUUUAGAAGCAUAACCCCAGUCUACUGUCCAUCCGGAAGGGAUCCCUCCUAUACCUGCAAAUAGAUUCCUAAUGAGAAAGUCCUUCUAAAGCUGAUGAAACAGAAAGGAAAAGCCAGAGAGAGAGAGAAAGAGAAAGAAAGUGUAAUCCAUCUAACUCCCAUCCUGCCUUGUACCAGAGAUGACUUUCAGUUUCUAGAUCUGGCAGGAAAGUUAAUGGAAUAGGACCAAUGUGUUAUUGAACUCCUUCCAGAUCCAGAUCAAGUGAUUAUUUCAGAUUUAGUGAGACUCUUCCACAUUGGAGGCAAGAAAUGCAGAAAGCUCAAAGAUUGAGGGUAUCAAGUGGUAAAAGUUGGAUUAAAGGGGAUAAGAGUGAGUUGAAUAAAAUAAAAGAAAAUUAGAGAAGUCAAGUUAGAAUAAAAGAGAGAAAAAUAACUGAUCAAGGAAUGUAUUUGAGAGUCCAAACAGAAAAAAUGAAAAAGAAAAGAAAGUUAAAAAACUGUAAAUCUAACAGCAAAGAGAGAGAUAUCAGAAGAAAUUCAGAAAUAGAUGAUGAAUAUAA